RNAcentral lists this long non-coding RNA (1047 nucleotides) under Bemisia tabaci. Its description in RNAcentral is "lncRNA ENSASIAIIG008484". Lineage: Eukaryota; Metazoa; Arthropoda; Insecta; Hemiptera; Aleyrodidae. The record is from RNAcentral.
ACAGUUUGGUACAAAUCCUCAUCUCUUGUGAGUGCGCGCUUAGUCUUACAUAAACUUUAAACUUUUGUAUAAACAUUUUUUGGUUACUCGUGCUAAUCUCUUCAAAGUGAAAGCUGAACAGUUUGUAAUGGCCGAUUGCUUUUUCCACCUCUCACUCAUCACUGAAAAACAAGAAGAAAAGGUAGAAGGACUGAAGGAUAGGGGGAAGUAGCGGUUGCGGUUCCAUUAGGUGUAUCGGCUAUUGGACUCGACAGUGACACGUCGACAUAUCACCAAGAGAAGAUUAAGAUGUAAAGCCCUUAUUUCUAGAUUCUGUUUUAUCUUGCCUGUGAUCUGCAACAUAUAUUUCACCGAUUUCACCUACCAAGACACGAUAACUGAACAUCCCCUGCCCCUGCAUUCAAGGCUGGAAACUCCCUGGAUCUCCUAGCUUGAUCUCCUACUAGCUGGAUCUCCCCAAAACCCUUACCCAUGUGCACAAUUGGUCGGUUGCAUUCGUCAUUGUCUUAUUUACCUAUUUCAGCUUGCUUUAUUUUGACUUUGUAAGUAGGUUUAAGUAAAAUAUUUUUUCCCUUCACUUGUGAUUCAAUUGUGUAAAGACUCAUUGGGUUAAUUUUGCCCAGGACUUCCAUUAAAAAUUCUAUUCUAUGAAUACGUGAGUACAUUUUCUUUCCUAAGAAGGAAAACUACUUAUUUCAAUGCUCCUCUCAUGAUCCCUUGUUCUAUCAUUAGGCUAAUCUGCAGACCUGAUCAGUCACAGGAGUGAUGCAGGGCUUUUGAAUUUUCCUGUCUAACUGCAAAAUCUGCCAAUUGAUUUGGAUUUUAUUGCAAUCACUGUCCCUUGGUCAGAUACAUUUAGACUACAUUUUGCAAUUAAGAACUAUAAUUUCUGGGUCAGUUUAGAAACAACGUAUGUACCAGCAGUUUCCUUAUGCAUGUAUGUGUUUGUACAGAUAAGCCAGGAAUUAUAGUUCCGAAUUGCAAAAUGUAGUCCAUUUAUCAUACAUAGUUUCGCACCAUACAUGCAAGUAUGUUACACAUAUGUAU